AACGAACGCUGGCGGCAUGCCUAACACAUGCAAGUCGAACGAGACCUUCGGGUCUAGUGGCGCACGGGUGCGUAACGCGUGGGAACCUGCCCUUAGGUUCGGUAUAACUCCCCGAAAGGGGUGCUAAUACCGGAUAAUGUCUUCGGACCAAAGAUUUAUCGCCUUUGGAUGGGCCCGCGUUGGAUUAGCUAGUUGGUAGGGUAAAAGCCUACCAAGGCGACGAUCCAUAGCUGGUCUGAGAGGAUGAUCAGCCACACUGGGACUGAGACACGGCCCAGACUCCUACGGGAGGGAGCAGUGGGGAAUAUUGGACAAUGGGCGAAAGUCUGAUCCAGCAAUGCCGGGUGAGUGAUGAAGGCCUUAGGGUUGUAAAGCUCUUUUACACGGGAUGAUAAUGACAGUACCGGGAGAAUAAGCUCCGGCUAACUACGUG
Molecule: ribosomal RNA, 433 nt
Filed under: uncultured bacterium
Lineage: Bacteria
Description: partial 16S ribosomal RNA
Rfam family: Bacterial small subunit ribosomal RNA
Source: RNAcentral